GGUCAAAUAUUUCGCGUCGAACCAUUUGACGCUUGAUAGACCCCACUUCACUUGUUGUGUGUACCAUUAUUGUUGAUUUCGGGGGUAAUUGACGAGUUUUCACAUCAAAUCAAACAUGGCGAUGGGCCGAAAUCAGGAGUUUGAUAAUCUGUACCGUGAAAUUGAUGAGCCUGUAGAAUCAAGGAAGCUGUUCUUGGGUGGACUCAGAAGUCAAAGUUCAGAAAGACACCUUUAUGAAGCUCUCCUCCCAUAUGGCCACAUUUUGGAGGUUCUCUUUGUUCGUGAUAAAAAUGGCAAACCCAAAGGAUUUGGUUUUGUUACUUUUACCAAAUCAUACAUGUUAGAGGCGGUAUUUGCUGACCAUCCAGACAAUCGCAUCAUUGUGGAUGGAAAGAACGUGGAAGUUAAGAGAUUAUCGGAAGGCGAGCCCAGCCGCUCUAAAGCAGCUAUGUUAAAGGCUGCUGUGCCUAAUGAGAAUACAACACGGAUCUUUGUCGGAGGUAUCUCGGAAAUAACCACUGAAGAAAACUUGAGAGAGGGAUUUAGUGAAUAUGGGGAAAUCAUAGAAGUUGAUAUCCCACCAAAUGAGAAGACUGGAAAGGCACGUGGUUUUGCUUUCAUUACAUUUGCAAGCAAGGAGAGUGUGGGAAAGGUUGUGGGAAUGAAGUAUUUAAAUUUCUUUGGGCGGAAAGUAGAGGUGAAAAGAGCCAUCGAAAAGGAGAAACUACAGAGAGACUCUGUACCUCCUCCACCAGCACCUUCACCUAAAGGCAAGCCCGAGGGAGCAAGUAAAGGAGGGCAGGGAGGUGGGCAAGGAAGAGGAGGAAAAGGGGGAGGGGGGAAAGGAGGAGGAGGGAAAGGAGGAGGUGGAAGAGGAGGAGGUGGAAGAGGUGGUGGUGGUGGCCGUGGUGGCCGUGAUGGAGGGCGUAGUGGCAGAGGCUUUGGAGGAGGAACAGGCGGAGAAAUGGGUGGUGAUAAACAGAGACAUGAUGCUGGUGGAAGAGAUCUUUGGAGAGACAGCAUGAGAAACAUGUUUGAUGGUCCUGAACAAUUUGGACCUGAAAGAGACUUUGACCAAGGCUACAGAAGGGAUAGACCCCCUUUUGACAUGGGACCUGAUAGAUAUAGGGGUAUGGGUCCAGAUGGGCCAAUGGGACGAGAAAGGCCAUUUGGACGAGAAGGACUGAUGGGACGGGAAAGGCUGAUGGAACGGGAAAGGCUGAUGGAACGGGAAAGGCUGAUGGAACGGGAAAGGCUGAUGGAACGGGAAAGGCUGAUGGAACGAGAAGGACCAAUGGGACGAGAUUGGUCAAUGGGACGAGAAAGGUCAAUGGGGCAAGAAGGGCCGAUGGGGCGAGAAGGGCCGAUGGGACGAGAAGGGCCGAUGGGACGAGAAGGGCAGAUGGGACGAGAAGGGCCGAUGGGACGAGAAGGGCUGAUGGGAAUGGAUCGUGGGAGAAUGAUGGACAGAAUGCGAGACAUGGGACCAGAUAUGCAUCAAAGAAGAUCACUAGGACCAGAUAUGCCUGGAGUUCCAGGGGACCUGAUGGGAAUGGGCUCAAGAGGACCAAGAGAAGGGAGAGGUAUGGAGCGAGCAGCAAGGGGAGGACAAGGAUUGAGAGACAUGGAUAAAUGGGAUGAGGCAAUGUUUGACGGUAUGCCCACAGACGAAAUGUUUAGAAGUCAGUUUGGAGAUGGUCCCAUGGACUUCCCUGGUUUCCCUGGAGAUGGACCACCAUCUCGUCCUGGUGGAUCAGGAGGAAUACCAGGAGAUUUCAAACAAGAGAUGAGUGAAGUAGAAAGGGAUCUUGAAAUCUCCAAAGCCAAGAUGAAGGAGUACUACAAAACCAUGUACAUGUGGAAGCUCAAGUGGUAUCAAAUGAUGAAGACCUGGACAGCAGCCAAAGCUGCUGUUGCUGCAGAGGUAACCGUGAAUAGCAUAACAGCAAGUCCUUCUAGAGACCCCCUUCCAGCUACCAGCCAGCCUCAAGGUAGUUCCUUUGGUGCUGUAGAUGGGAUAUGGGGUCAAGCCCGGGGUCAAGCCCAGAGUCAAGUAGCUAGUCAGGCUGCAAAUCAAGCUACAGUUCAAGCUCCGAGUCAAGCAAGUCAAGCUCCAGGGCAAAUGCCUGGUCAAAUGCCUGGUCAAACACUUGGGCAAGCACCUGGUCAAGCACCGAGUCAGGCACCCCUUCAUCCACCAGGGGUGGCACCAAGUAGUGGCGGAAAUGAAGACCCUUACAGAGCUCCGGUUGACAGUUUUGGAGGUAGAGCUGCUGGUAAUACUGGCAGCAACUUUGGAAACCAAGGUCAAGGUCAUCCAUAUGCAAACCAAGGUCAGACUCCCAGCUAUGGGAAACAAGAUCAAGACACAAGCUUUGGUGGUCUAGGGUCAAACUAUGGCAACAUGCCUUCAAAGUAUGGUCCAAUGAAGACGGAACCUGCUUACCCUGGCUCUUCAUUUGGAGGACCUUAUGGGGGAAUGCCAGGAAUAUGAGAACUGUAUGUGUUGAAGAAUCUAAGAAACAAGUCAAAGUAGAAUGAUGGGAGGGAUUGGUAUCAUUUCAUCAGUGGAGGACAGAGGAAAUCUGCUAUGAAGUAUCACAUUGAAAGAGUACACCAAAAGGGGUCCCUGUUGCUCCAUCCAUGGGAUGAUUACCUUGUUGGAUUGUAUGCAUUGUAAUGCUGAAGGGAACCUAAUAAAAACUGGCUCUAUAGUAGCCAUGCUCACCAC
Molecule: unclassified non-coding RNA, 2731 nt
Filed under: Lytechinus variegatus (green sea urchin)
Lineage: Eukaryota; Metazoa; Echinodermata; Echinoidea; Temnopleuroida; Toxopneustidae
Description: collagen alpha-1(III) chain-like, transcript variant X2
Source: RNAcentral